GAUGAAGAACGUAGCGAAAUGCGAUAAGUAGUGUGAAUUGCAGAAUUCAGUGAAUCAUCGAAUCUUUGAACGCACAUUGCGCCCUUUGGUAUUCCUUAGGGCAUGCCUGUUCGAGCGUCAUUUCAACCCUCAAGCCCUGCUUGGUGUUGGGCGUUUGUCCUGCCUCCGCGCGGGACUCGCCUCAAAGACAUUGGCGGCCGGUUUCCCUUUGCAGGCCACGAGCGCAGCACAGCGAGCGCUCUACGUGGACGCGGGGUCGGCGAACCAGAAGCCCUCUUUCUCGAAUUUUGACCUCGGAUCAGGUAGGGAUACCCGCUGAACUUAAGCAUAUCAAUAAGCGGAGGA
RNAcentral lists this unclassified non-coding RNA (345 nucleotides) under soil metagenome. Its description in RNAcentral is "partial contains 5.8S ribosomal RNA, internal transcribed spacer 2, and large subunit ribosomal RNA". The stretch from base 1 to 120 matches the Rfam family "5.8S ribosomal RNA", at positions 35 to 154 of the family's 154-position model. The record is from RNAcentral.